CAAUAGCGUAUAUUUAAGUUGCUGCAGUUAAAAAGCUCGUAGUUGGAUUUCGGGUGGGAAUGGCCGGUCCGCCGUUUCGGUGUGCACUUGCUACGCCCACCUUGAUGCCGGGGACGUGCUCUUGAGUUCACGCUCGGGACACGGAGUCGGCGAGGUUACUUUGAGUAAAUUAGAGUGUUCAAAGCAGGCCUACGCUCUGAAUACAUUAGCAUGGAAUAACACGAUAGGACUCUGGCCUAUCUUGUUGGUCUGUAGGACCGGAGUAAUGAUUAAGAGGGACAGUCGGGGGCAUUCGUAUUUCAUUGUCAGAGGUGAAAUUCUUGGAUUUAUGAAAGACGAACUACUGCGAAAGCAUUUGCCAAGGAUGUUUUCAUUGA
RNAcentral lists this ribosomal RNA (377 nucleotides) under uncultured eukaryote. RNAcentral's name for it is "partial 18S ribosomal RNA". It matches the Rfam family "Eukaryotic small subunit ribosomal RNA", at positions 592 to 976 of the family's 1831-position model. The record is from RNAcentral.